Molecule: long non-coding RNA, 581 nt
Filed under: Pseudonaja textilis
Lineage: Eukaryota; Metazoa; Chordata; Lepidosauria; Squamata; Elapidae
Description: lncRNA (ENSPTXG00000015207.1)
Source: RNAcentral
CCUUUGGAGGCAAGGACUGGAAUCCUCCGAGAAUACCCGGAUGUCGCUCUUUUCCCUCCCUCCCUCCCUCCCUCCUCCCCUUCGGGGCUCGCGGCAAGGAGAACAAAAUGGCGGCCGAAGUAGACGCACCCGUUGGAUGAAACCAGGAGAAGGGAUUUCAAGAAAUGGCCUUGGCUAAUCUUUAUUUCCUUUGCCGUUGUUGCCAACUUUGCCAAAAUUCCCGGCAUCUGCCUUUUACUUCCACAAUCUACGGUUGGGAGUUCUCGACUUACAAACCAAACUUACAAGUCAACCUUGAGCUGAUCAGGAUUGAACUCCUGGCUGUGGGCAGAAUUAGCCUGCAAUUACUACAUUCUAACCACCAGGGUUACAUCCUAACUGUGCCACCAGGGCUUAAUGUCUGUUUGAAGGUAUUGAAAAAAAAGUGACUUACAAUCAGUUCUCACAUUUAAAACCAUUACAGCAUCCCCACAGUUUUACAUGCUCAAAAUUCAGGCAAUUGGCAUGUACUUAUGACGGUUUCGCUAUCCCGGGGUCAUAAGAUCACCCUUUGUGACCUUCCUAGUCAGCAUCUGACAAGC